ACCCCUCUCUGGGGAAGAAUUAGGUCUGGCCCUUUAAAAGUAAAUUCACCACCACCACCACCCCCCUCCACCCCCCUCUUGCCCUGCCCUGGCCUGUCGCCCAAGCAAGCAGAACAUUUACAGACUGGACAGACUUCACCCUUCUCUGCCCAUUGACAUCCACUCCCCACUAUCCCGUAUCUGAGCUGGAAUUUAGGGGUCCUAAAUCCGACUUCUAGCCCCAACACCAAGUUCUUCCCACUCCUCCCUGCUAUGGGAAGUUGAAGUUUCUGCCUGAUGAGUUUGCCCUUCAGGGUGAGGACCAGUCCCAAGUGAUUGUCAUGACCAUCCCCACAUGACAUGUGAAGAAACUGGCGACCUGUGCUGAGGCUUCACAUCUCUAAGCUUGUGUCUCUAGGAAACACAGCAGACAAAGGAACAAAUCAAACUGUGGUACUUCUCCAGGACAACUCACCUGGACUUUUCAAAAACGUCAGUGUCAAGGAAGAUAAAAAGAUGGGGGUUGGGAAGAAGAGAGAUAACAACCAAAUGCAAAUACAUGAAACUCGACUGGAGCCUGAUUUACAAAACAAUUAUGAAUGAUGAGAAAUUCACAUAUGUCAGGAUAUUAAAUGGUGUUAGGGAAUUGUUCAUUUUUUGCCAGAUAAUAGUACUUUUUAAAUUGACUUCAGAGAGGAAGGGAGAGGGAGAGAUAGAAACAUCAAU
This is a long non-coding RNA of Myotis brandtii (Brandt's bat), 705 nucleotides long. RefSeq lists it as uncharacterized. The transcript has 3 exons. NCBI's taxonomy places the organism in Eukaryota, Metazoa, Chordata, Mammalia, Chiroptera, Vespertilionidae. The record is from RefSeq and is a predicted model, not a curated record.